Molecule: small nuclear RNA, 127 nt
Organism: Polyodon spathula (Mississippi paddlefish)
Lineage: Eukaryota; Metazoa; Chordata; Actinopteri; Acipenseriformes; Polyodontidae
Product: U4atac minor spliceosomal RNA
Exons: 1
Source: RefSeq, a predicted model, not a curated record
ACUUUCCUUGUCUUGGGGUUGUGUGGCUAUUCAAUGAGCGUCUAGUGAGAGUAGCCCUGCUAACACCAUACCAACACACUCGCAUCACCUGAGUAUUAGCUUGGGCUAUGGUGCAAUUUUUGGAACC